Bos taurus (domestic cattle) is the source of this 73-nucleotide non-coding RNA. NCBI's taxonomy places the organism in Eukaryota, Metazoa, Chordata, Mammalia, Artiodactyla, Bovidae. The record is from Rfam.
UCCCUGAUGGUCCAGUGGUUAAGACUUUGCACUUCCAAUGCAGGGGAUGCAAGUUUAAUCCCUGGCCAGGGAA